GACGAACGCUGGCGGCGUGCUUAACACAUGCAAGUCGAACGGAAAGGCCCUGCUUUUGUGGGGUGCUCGAGUGGCGAACGGGUGAGUAACACGUGAGUAACCUGCCCUUGACUUUGGGAUAACUUCAGGAAACUGGGGCUAAUACCGGAUAGGAGCUCCUGCUGCAUGGUGGGGGUUGGAAAGUUUCGGCGGUUGGGGAUGGACUCGCGGCUUAUCAGCUUGUUGGUGGGGUAGUGGCUUACCAAGGCUUUGACGGGUAGCCGGCCUGAGAGGGUGACCGGCCACAUUGGGACUGAGAUACGGCCCAGACUCCUACGGGAGGCAGCAGUGGGGAAUAUUGCAAAAUGGGCGGAAGCCUGAUGCAGCAACGCCGCGUGCGGGAUGACGGCCUUCGGGUUGUAAACCGCCUUCGCCUGUGACGAAGCGUGAGUGACGGUAAUGGGUAAAGAAGCACCGGCUAACUACGUG
RNAcentral lists this ribosomal RNA (468 nucleotides) under uncultured bacterium. Its description in RNAcentral is "partial 16S ribosomal RNA". It matches the Rfam family "Bacterial small subunit ribosomal RNA", at positions 28 to 507 of the family's 1533-position model. The record is from RNAcentral.